AUCUCUGGCUCCUUUGCAUUUGACCGAGAAAUCUUUCGCAUUUUACUAAAGAUUUCCGUGCAAAAAUGCAUUUUAUGAGUGCACAGGGAUUAUUGGAAUCCCCUCGAAAGAGCGGGAU
Molecule: small nuclear RNA, 118 nt
Filed under: Ancylostoma duodenale
Lineage: Eukaryota; Metazoa; Nematoda; Chromadorea; Rhabditida; Ancylostomatidae
Description: U5 spliceosomal RNA
Rfam family: U5 spliceosomal RNA
About the family: U5 RNA is a component of both types of known spliceosome. The precise function of this molecule is unknown, though it is known that the 5' loop is required for splice site selection and p220 binding, and that both the 3' stem-loop and the Sm site are important for Sm protein binding and cap methylation.
Source: Rfam by way of RNAcentral